UGGUGGUUAUGGAGUGGUUGGAAGACCCCUGGUGUGACCCUGGGGGGAUCCCAGUGAUGUUUCUGGAGAGGUUGGGGACCCCUGGUGACACCUUGGGGACCCUGGUGAUGCUUUGGAGGACCCUGGUGUGACCUUGGAGGACCCCGGUGACAUCUUGGGGGACCCUGGUGGUGAUCCUGAUGUGGUUGGAGGUCCCACGGUGACACCUUGGGGGACCCUGAUGACACUUCGGAGGACCCCAGUGAGACCUUGGGGGACCUCGGUGACACCUUGGAGGACCCCAGCGGUGGUCCUGGAGCGGUUGGAGGUCCCACAGAGACAUCUUGGAGGACCCCAGUGAGACCCUGGGGACCCCAGUGACACCUUGGAGGACCUCAACGGUGGUCAUGGAGCGGUUGAAAGUCCCACGGUGACACUUUGGGGGGACCCCGAUGACAAUUCUGGAGUGGUUGGAGGACCCCCGGUGGGCAUCUUGGGGGACCUCGGUGACAUCUUAUGGACAGGCAAGGGUCCCUGGUGACAACUUGGGGACACCCAGAGGACCCCAGUGUCACUUGGAGGACUGAAGUGACAUCUUGGAGGACCUCCGGUGACAAUUCUGGAGUGGUCGGAGGACUGAAGUGACACUUCUGGAGUGGUUGGAUGACCCCCGGUGACACCUUGGAGGACCCAGGUGACACUCCUGGAGCGGUUGGAGGACCCCGGAUGACAACUUGGGGACAUUCUUGGAAUGGCCUGGGUGACCCUGGUGACAUUUGGGGACCCCUGGUGACAUUUGGGGUCACUUGGAGGACUCUGGGAACCCCUGGAAGACCCCCAUGCCAUUUGGGGUCCCUUGGAGGAUCUUGGUGUCCCUUGGAGGACUCUGGGGACUCCUGGAGGACCCCUAAUGCCAUUUGGGGUCCCUUGGAGGACUUUGGGGACCCCUGGAGGACCCCCAAUGCCAUUUGUGGAGGACUUUGGGGACACCUGGAGGACCCCAAUUCCAUUUGGGGUCCCUUGGAGGACUCGGGACCCCCCGAGGACCUCCAAUGCCAUUUGGGGUCUCUUGGAGGACUUUGGGGUCCCCCGAGGGCCUCCAAUGCCAUUUGGGGUCCCUUGGAGGACUCUGGGGACCCCUGGAGGACCCCCGAUUCCAUUUGGGGUCCCCUGGAGGACUUUGGGGACCCCUGGAGGACUUUGGGGUCCCCCGGAGGAUCUCUAAUGCCAUUUGGGGUCCCUUGGAGGACUCUGGAGACCCCUGGAGGACUUUGGGGUCCCCCGGAGGACCCCCAGUUCCAUUUGGGAUCCCUUGGAGGACUUUGGGGUCCCUUGGAGGACUUUGGACCCCCAUUUUGGGCUCACAGGGCCGUUUCUCCUCUCCGUGUUUUACAGUCGAAUAAAACAAAGGGGAAAUUUUCAGAUGAUUCUUUCCCAGUUCAUCCCAGUAUCCCCCACUUUUGUCCCAGUUCCUCCCAGUGCCCUCCCAGUUCAUCCCAGUACCUCCCAGUUCCCUCCCCAUUCCUUCCAGUUCUCCCAGUUCCUCCUAGUUCUCUCCCAGUUUGUCUCAGUCUCUCCCAGUUCAUCCCAGUUUCUCCAGUAUCUCCCAGUCUGCCUGGUCCCUCCCAGUUCACCCCACUUCCUUCCCAGUUCUCUCCCAGCCCCUCCCAGUUCAUCCCAGUUCCCCUCCCAAUUCCUCCCAGUUUCCUCCCAGUUCAUCCCAAUACCCUCCUAGUCCCUCCCAGUUCAUCCCAGUACCCUCCCAGUUCAUGCCAGUACCUCCCAGCUCUUUCCCAGUUCAUCCUGGUUCCCCCCCAGCCCCCCUAG
Long non-coding RNA from Phasianus colchicus (ring-necked pheasant), 1806 nucleotides. Lineage: Eukaryota; Metazoa; Chordata; Aves; Galliformes; Phasianidae. The record is from Ensembl.